This 511-nucleotide ribosomal RNA is filed under the name uncultured bacterium. RNAcentral describes it as "bacterial LSU rRNA". It matches the Rfam family "Bacterial large subunit ribosomal RNA", at positions 935 to 1447 of the family's 2925-position model. The record is from RNAcentral.
CCUACCAAACCCUGACGAACUCCGAAUGCUAUAAAAUAUAUCCAGCAGUGAGGCAGCGAGUGAUAAGGCCCGUUGCCGAAAGGGAAACAACCCAGACCAUCAGCUAAGGUCCCAAAGUCUAUAUUAAGUUGCACAAACGUUGUCCGAUUGCUAUAACAGCUAGGAUGUUUGCUUGGAAGCAGCAAUCAUUUUAAAGAGUGCGUAACAGCUCACUAGUCGAGUGAUCGGGCGCGGAAGAAUGACCGGGCAUAAAAUAUAGCACCGAAGCUAUGGAUUCGAAAGAAUGGUAGGAGAGCAUUCCAGCAUCUGUGAAGGUGAACCGUGAGGUUUGCUGGAGAAACUGGAAAAGAAAAAUGUAGGAAUAAGUAACGAUAAAUAAGGUGAAAAACCUUAUACGCCAUAAACCUAAAGGGUUCCUGAUCAAUGUUAAAUCAGAUCAGGGUAGUCGGAUCCUAAGGACACCCGAAAGGGGAACCUCCGAUGGAAAACUAGUUAAUAUUACUAGUACUUG